This 492-nucleotide ribosomal RNA is filed under the name uncultured bacterium. Its description in RNAcentral is "partial 16S ribosomal RNA". It matches the Rfam family "Bacterial small subunit ribosomal RNA", at positions 29 to 507 of the family's 1533-position model. The record is from RNAcentral.
AGUGAACGCUGGCGGUAGGCCUAACACAUGCAAGUCGAACGGCAGCACAGUAAGAGCUUGCUCUUACGGGUGGCGAGUGGCGGACGGGUGAGGAAUACAUCGGAAUCUACUUUUUCGUGGGGGAUAACGUAGGGAAACUUACGCUAAUACCGCAUACGACCUACGGGUGAAAGCAGGGGAUCUUCGGACCUUGCGCGAUUGAAUGAGCCGAUGUCGGAUUAGCUAGUUGGCGGGGUAAAGGCCCACCAAGGCGACGAUCCGUAGCUGGUCUGAGAGGAUGAUCAGCCACACUGGAACGGAGACACGGUCCAGACUACUACGGGAGGCAGCAGUGGGGAAUAUUGGGCAAUGGGCGCAAGCCUGAUCCAGCCAUACCGCGUGGGUGAAGAAGGCCUUCGGGUUGUAAAGCCCUUUUGUUGGGAAAGAAAAGCAGCAGGUUAAUACCCCGCUGUUCUGACGGUACCCAAAGAAUAAGCACCGGCUAACUUCGUG